UCCUGGCUCAGGAUGAACGCUGGCGGCGUGCUUAACACAUGCAAGUCGAACGGAGUUUUAACGGAAGUUUCGGAUGGAAGUUUAGAAACUUAGUGGCGGACGGGUGAGUAACGCGUGGGUAACCUGCCUCAUACAGGGGGAUAACAGUUAGAAAUGACUGCUAACACCGCAUAAUAUAGCGAAACCGCAUGAUUUUGCUAUCAAAUAUUUAUAGGUAUGAGAUGGGCCCGCGUCUGAUUAGCUAGUUGGUGGGGUAAAGCCUACCAAGGCGACGAUCAGUAGCCGGCUUGAGAGAGUGACCGGCCACAUUGGGACUGAGACACGGCCCAAACUCCUACGGGAGGCAGCAGUGGGGAAUAUUGGACAAUGGGGGAAACCCUGAUCCAGCGAACCGCCGCGUGAGUGAAGAAGUAUUUCGGUAUGUAAAGCUCUAUCAGCAGGGAAGAUAAUGACAGUACCUGACUAAGAAGCCCCGGCUAACUACGUGCCAGCCGCUGC
This 498-nucleotide ribosomal RNA is filed under the name uncultured bacterium. RNAcentral describes it as "bacterial SSU rRNA". It matches the Rfam family "Bacterial small subunit ribosomal RNA", at positions 17 to 518 of the family's 1533-position model. The record is from RNAcentral.